GAGUUUGAUCCUGGCUCAGGACGAACGCUGGCGGCGUGCCUAAUACAUGCAAGUCGAGCGAGCUUGCCUAGAUGAUUUUAGUGCUUGCACUAAAUGAAACUAGAUACAAGCGAGCGGCGGACGGGUGAGUAACACGUGGGUAACCUGCCCAAGAGACUGGGAUAACACCUGGAAACAGAUGCUAAUACCGGAUAACAACACUAGACGCAUGUCUAGAGUUUGAAAGAUGGUUCUGCUAUCACUCUUGGAUGGACCUGCGGUGCAUUAGCUAAUUGGUAAGGUAACGGCUUACCAAGGCAAUGAUGCAUAGCCGAGUUGAGAGACUGAUCGGCCACAUUGGGACUGAGACACGGCCCAAACUCCUACGGGAGGCAGCAGUAGGGAAUCUUCCACAAUGGACGAAAGUCUGAUGGAGCAACGCCGCGUGAGUGAAGAAGGGUUUCGGCUCGUAAAGCUCUGUUGGUAGUGAAGAAAGAUAGAGGUAGUAACUGGCCUUUAUUUGACGGUAAUUACUUAGAAAGUCACGGCUAACUACGUGCCAGCAGCCGCGGUAAUACGUAGGUGGCAAGCGUUGUCCGGAUUUAUUGGGCGUAAAGCGAGUGCAGGCGGUUCAAUAAGUCUGAUGUGAAAGCCUUCGGCUCAACCGGAGAAUUGCAUCAGAAACUGUUGAACUUGAGUGCAGAAGAGGAGAGUGGAACUCCAUGUGUAGCGGUGGAAUGCGUAGAUAUAUGGAAGAACACCAGUGGCGAAGGCGGCUCUCUGGUCUGCAACUGACGCUGAGGCUCGAAAGCAUGGGUAGCGAACAGGAUUAGAUACCCUGGUAGUCCAUGCCGUAAACGAUGAGUGCUAAGUGUUGGGAGGUUUCCGCCUCUCAGUGCUGCAGCUAACGCAUUAAGCACUCCGCCUGGGGAGUACGACCGCAAGGUUGAAACUCAAAGGAAUUGACGG
This 948-nucleotide ribosomal RNA is filed under the name uncultured bacterium. RNAcentral describes it as "bacterial SSU rRNA". It matches the Rfam family "Bacterial small subunit ribosomal RNA", at positions 9 to 916 of the family's 1533-position model. The record is from RNAcentral.